CAGCACCUCAAGUGGUCAGGAUGAUUAUUGGGCCUGAAGCAUCCGUAGCCGGCUCUGUAAGUUUUCGGUUAAAUCUGUACGCUCAACGUACAGGCUGCCGGGAAUACUGCAGAGCUAGGGAGUGGGAGAGGUAGACGGUACUCGGUAGGAAGGGGUAAAAUCCUUUGAUCUAUUGAUGACCACCUGUGGCGAAGGCGGUCUACCAGAACACGUCCGACGGUGAGGGAUGAAAGCUGGGGGAGCAAACCGGAUUAGAUACCCGAGUAGUCC
RNAcentral lists this ribosomal RNA (270 nucleotides) under uncultured archaeon. RNAcentral describes it as "partial 16S ribosomal RNA". It matches the Rfam family "Archaeal small subunit ribosomal RNA", at positions 477 to 747 of the family's 1478-position model. The record is from RNAcentral.